CGAGAAGAAAGUUCCUCCCGCGGUUCAGGACUGGAUUAAGUGCAGAAAGGAGGGCAAGAGAUGUAAUUUUAGACGAGGAAAGAAGAGGCUUGCUGCAAGAUGAUGAUAGCGUAUCGUCUGGUGGAAGUUGGGCUGAGGCAAGUGCAGCUGCGGAUGAAAAGAAGA
RNAcentral lists this non-coding RNA (165 nucleotides) under Skeletonema dohrnii. Lineage: Eukaryota; Bacillariophyta; Thalassiosirophyceae; Thalassiosirales; Thalassiosiraceae. The record is from RNAcentral.